CCUACGGGUGGCUGCAGUGGGGAAUAUUGCACAAUGGGCGCAAGCCUGAUGCAGCCAUGCCGCGUGUGUGAAGAAGGCCUUCGGGUUGUAAAGCACUUUCAGCGGGGAGGAAGGCGUUAAGGUUAAUAACCUUGUCGAUUGACGUUACCCGCAGAAGAAGCACCGGCUAACUCCGUGCCAGCAGCCGCGGUAAUACGGAGGGUGCAAGCGUUAAUCGGAAUUACUGGGCGUAGAGCGCACGCAGGCGGUCUGUCAAGUCGGAUGUGAAAUCCCCGGGCUCAACCUGGGAACUGCAUUCGAAACUGGCAGGCUAGAGUCUUGUAGAGGGGGGUAGAAUUCCAGGUGUAGCGGUGAAAUGCGUAGAGAUCUGGAGGAAUACCGGUGGCGAAGGCGGCCCCCUGGACAAAGACUGACGCUCAGGUGCGAAAGCGUGGGGAGCAAACAGGAUUAGAUACCCUUGUAGUC
RNAcentral lists this ribosomal RNA (465 nucleotides) under uncultured Klebsiella sp. RNAcentral's name for it is "bacterial SSU rRNA". It matches the Rfam family "Bacterial small subunit ribosomal RNA", at positions 338 to 795 of the family's 1533-position model. Lineage: Bacteria; Pseudomonadati; Pseudomonadota; Gammaproteobacteria; Enterobacterales; Enterobacteriaceae. The record is from RNAcentral.